Non-coding RNA from Cinara cedri, 345 nucleotides. NCBI's taxonomy places the organism in Eukaryota, Metazoa, Arthropoda, Insecta, Hemiptera, Aphididae. The record is from the annotation of a GenBank genome assembly.
UUUUAAUAAUUGAACUAAACUGAAAAACCUUAGAAAGAACAGACAAAUUUACGAAAAUAAUUCAUUUUAGAUUUCGAGCAUAGCGAGGGAGCUAUUGGUUUUACAAUGCUGUUCUUUUUUUUUUGUUCUUUGUUCUAGUUUUCUCUAAUUUUUACAUGUAGUAACUUUUCUGAAAGCUCAAAUUGUCUAAAUUGUACUUUAAAGAGGUAAUUUUGAUUUUCGAGGCCAUUUUUUAAACUUUUAAACCACUUUAAAGCUUUUAAGGAAUUUUAAUUUUUGAGAGUUUUUUACUGUAAUUCGGUUGUAAAUACACGUAGAAACUUGAAACUUGGUAUUACUACUUAU